CCUACGGUGUGCAGCAGUGGGGAAUCUUGCGCAAUGGGCGAAAGCCUGACGCAGCGACGCCGCGUGAGGGAUGAAGGUCUUCGGAUCGUAAACCUCUGUCAGCAGGGAAGAACGGUCACUGUGCUAAUCAGCAGUGAAUUGACGGUACCUGCAAUGGAAGCACCGGCUAACUCCGUGCCAGCAGCCGCGGUAAUACGGAGGGUGCGAGCGUUAAUCGGAAUUACUGGGCGUAAAGCGCUCGUAGGCGGUAUGUCAAGUCAACGGUAAAAUUGCGGGGCUCAACCCCGUCGAGCCGUUGAAACUGGCAGACUUGAGUUGGCGAGAAGUACGCGGAAUGCGCGGUGUAGCGGUGAAAUGCAUAGAUAUCGCGCAGAACUCCGAUUGCGAAGGCAGCGUACCGGCGCCAGACUGACGCUGAGGCACGAAAGCGUGGGGAUCGAACAGGAUUAGAUACCCGAGUAGUC
This 464-nucleotide ribosomal RNA is filed under the name uncultured bacterium. RNAcentral's name for it is "partial 16S ribosomal RNA". It matches the Rfam family "Bacterial small subunit ribosomal RNA", at positions 338 to 795 of the family's 1533-position model. The record is from RNAcentral.